RNAcentral lists this ribosomal RNA (963 nucleotides) under uncultured prokaryote. RNAcentral describes it as "bacterial SSU rRNA". It matches the Rfam family "Bacterial small subunit ribosomal RNA", at positions 44 to 986 of the family's 1533-position model. The record is from RNAcentral.
GUGCCUAUAAUGGCAAGUCGAGCGAAUGGAUUAAGAGCUUGCUCUUAUGAAGUUAGCGGCGGACGGGUGAGUAACACGUGGGUAACCUGCCCAUAAGACUGGGAUAACUCCGGGAAACCGGGGCUAAUACCGGAUAAUAUUUUGAACCGCAUGGUUCGAAAUUGAAAGGCGGCUUCGGCUGUCACUUAUGGAUGGACCCGCGUCGCAUUAGCUAGUUGGUGAGGUAACGGCUCACCAAGGCAACGAUGCGUAGCCGACCUGAGAGGGUGAUCGGCCACACUGGGACUGAGACACGGCCCAGACUCCUACGGGAGGCAGCAGUAGGGAAUCUUCCGCAAUGGACGAAAGUCUGACGGAGCAACGCCGCGUGAGUGAUGAAGGCUUUCGGGUCGUAAAACUCUGUUGUUAGGGAAGAACAAGUGCUAGUUGAAUAAGCUGGCACCUUGACGGUACCUAACCAGAAAGCCACGGCUAACUACGUGCCAGCAGCCGCGGUAAUACGUAGGUGGCAAGCGUUAUCCGGAAUUAUUGGGCGUAAAGCGCGCGCAGGUGGUUUCUUAAGUCUGAUGUGAAAGCCCACGGCUCAACCGUGGAGGGUCAUUGGAAACUGGGAGACUUGAGUGCAGAAGAGGAAAGUGGAAUUCCAUGUGUAGCGGUGAAAUGCGUAGAGAUAUGGAGGAACACCAGUGGCGAAGGCGACUUUCUGGUCUGUAACUGACACUGAGGCGCGAAAGCGUGGGGGAGCAAACAGGAUUAGAUACCCUGGUAGUCCACGCCGUAAACGAUGAGUGCUAAGUGUUAGAGGGUUUCCGCCCUUUAGUGCUGAAGUUAACGCAUUAAGCACUCCGCCUGGGGGAGUACGGCCGCAAGGCUGAACUCAAGGAAUUGACGGGGGCCCGCACAAGCGGUGGAGCAUGUGUUUAAUUCGAAGCAACGCGAAGAACCCUUACCAGGUCUUUGACA